This 253-nucleotide ribosomal RNA is filed under the name uncultured bacterium. RNAcentral describes it as "partial 16S ribosomal RNA". It matches the Rfam family "Bacterial small subunit ribosomal RNA", at positions 524 to 776 of the family's 1533-position model. The record is from RNAcentral.
UACGAAGGAUGCGAGCGUUAUCCGGAUUUAUUGGGUUUAAAGGGUGCGUAGGCGGCUUUGUAAGUCAGUGGUGAAAUAUGGCAGCUUAACUGUCAAGGUGCCAUUGAUACUGCGGAGCUUGAGUACAGAUGAGGUAGGCGGAAUUGACGGUGUAGCGGUGAAAUGCUUAGAUAUCGUCAAGAACACCUAUAGCGAAGGCAGCUUACUAGGCUGUAACUGACGCUGAGGCACGAAAGUGUGGGGAUCAAACAGG